Molecule: ribosomal RNA, 803 nt
Filed under: uncultured Flavobacterium sp.
Lineage: Bacteria; Pseudomonadati; Bacteroidota; Flavobacteriia; Flavobacteriales; Flavobacteriaceae
Description: bacterial SSU rRNA
Rfam family: Bacterial small subunit ribosomal RNA
Source: RNAcentral
AUUAGAGUUUGAUCCUGGCUCAGGAUGAACGCUAGCGGCAGGCUUAACACAUGCAAGUCGAGGGGUAUAGGUUUUCGGACCUAGAGACCGGCGCACGGGUGCGUAACGCGUAUGCAAUCUACCUUUCACAAAGGGAUAGCCCAGAGAAAUUUGGAUUAAUACCUUAUAGUAAUACGACUUGGCAUCAAGAUGUAUUUAAAGAUUUAUCGGUGAAAGAUGAGCAUGCGUCCCAUUAGCUUGUUGGUAAGGUAACGGCUUACCAAGGCAACGAUGGGUAGGGGUCCUGAGAGGGAGAUCCCCCACACUGGUACUGAGACACGGACCAGACUCCUACGGGAGGCAGCAGUGAGGAAUAUUGGACAAUGGGCGCAAGCCUGAUCCAGCCAUGCCGCGUGCAGGAUGACGGUCCUAUGGAUUGUAAACUGCUUUUGUACAGGAAGAAACCCUUUCACGUGUGGAAGAUUGACGGUACUGUAAGAAUAAGGAUCGGCUAACUCCGUGCCAGCAGCCGCGGUAAUACGGAGGAUCCAAGCGUUAUCCGGAAUCAUUGGGUUUAAAGGGUCCGUAGGCGGUCAAGUAAGUCAGUGGUGAAAGCCCAUCGCUCAACGGUGGAACGGCCAUUGAUACUGCUUGACUUGAAUUAUUAGGAAGUAACUAGAAUAUGUAGUGUAGCGGUGAAAUGCUUAGAGAUUACAUGGAAUACCAAUUGCGAAGGCAGGUUACUACUAAUGGAUUGACGCUGAUGGACGAAAGCGUGGGUAGCGAACAGGAUUAGAUACCCUGGUAGAAUCACUAGUGAAUUC